GGGGGAUUAGCUCAGUUGGUAGAGCGCUUGCAUGGCAUGCAAGAGGCCAUCGGUUCGAAUCCGUUAUCCUCCA
This 73-nucleotide transfer RNA is filed under the name Bacteroidia bacterium. RNAcentral describes it as "tRNA-Ala". It matches the Rfam family "tRNA". Rfam says of the family: Transfer RNA (tRNA) molecules are approximately 80 nucleotides in length. Their secondary structure includes four short double-helical elements and three loops (D, anti-codon, and T loops). Lineage: Bacteria; Pseudomonadati; Bacteroidota; Bacteroidia. The record is from RNAcentral. RNAcentral also lists the same sequence under 2 other names.